Molecule: long non-coding RNA, 204 nt
Filed under: Musa acuminata (dwarf banana)
Lineage: Eukaryota; Viridiplantae; Streptophyta; Magnoliopsida; Zingiberales; Musaceae
Description: long non-coding RNA (MACU_LNC006537)
Source: RNAcentral
AGCUUACAAGCGAUACCACCACCUGGCUUGGCGAUGCCACCGCUUGGCCCAACCUUAGGUCACUGAAUUUACCUUCCAAUAGGCCCAAUUCAACCUUGAUUCAGGCCCAAUGGGCUCUUAAUUAAAUUACCAUGGUUACAUCCAAAACUAACUCAAUUAAACUCUAAAUUACUUAGUUUAAAAGUUUGAUUAAUGAAACCUAUA